GUUGUUCGGAAUUACUGGGCGUAAAGGGCUCGUAGGCGGCCAACUAAGUCAGACGUGAAAUCCCUCAGCUUAACUGGGGAACUGCGUCUGAUACUGGAUGGCUUGGAUUCGGGAGAGGAAUGCGGAAUUCCAGGUGUAGCGGUGAAAUGCGUAGAUAUCUGGAGGAACACCGGUGGCGAAGGCGGCAUUCUGGACCGACAUUGACGCUGAGGAGCGAAAGCCAGGGGAGCAAACGGG
Molecule: ribosomal RNA, 237 nt
Filed under: uncultured bacterium
Lineage: Bacteria
Description: partial 16S ribosomal RNA
Rfam family: Bacterial small subunit ribosomal RNA
Source: RNAcentral